ACUUUUUCAGUUUUCACAUUUAUCCAUUUGCCAGCAAGGUAGGACUUCCCAUGUACACUAAAAAUUCUUGAAUAACUUUUGUUUUGUAUUCUUUACUUUAUUGAUUUAAUGUUUUUAUACGUUUCUAAGAUUUCUCUCAGCUAGUGAAUGUCUUUCUUGAAAUCUGCAGUACCAGUCGGAGGAUGAUAUGAUCGAAUGGGCGAAGAGGGAAAGUGAGAGAGAAGAGGAGCAGAGACUGUCGAGGCUGAAGCAGCAGGAACAGGAAGAUAUUGAGCUUGCAAUAGCGCUCAGCAAGUCUGAAAUUUCCGAAGCAUGAGAUACCAAAGGCUGCAGGAAGUCUGGUGUCAUAACUAAAUUGUCCGUUUCUGGGUUGGGGGGGAAACAUUUAAGGUGGUUAAGUCUUCCUGUACUUAAAAGUAUUUAAAUGCCCUUUUAACCCUUGCCUUACUAGAGAGGGCAAAUAUAAUAUCAUGGUCUCUUUGUCAGUAAACCGGUAACAAGUCCUACUGUGCUGUGAAUGUGGCAGAGGAGUGAUAUUUGAUAUUUUGUACACCGUUGGUGCUUCCGAAGCCAUCACCUGUGUUUUGCACUGAGUAAUCAAUGGCUGUGUGUUUUAAAUAGAAAUGCAGUUAUGUGUCCUUAUAAUAUCUUUGCUUUACAGAGAUGAUUUAGCAGUAAUACGCUGUUAUUCUUAAAAAGAAACCAUGAUAAAAAAAAUGUUUACUUUUGCUAAGCUGUAGCAUAUGUUAACAGAUUUCAAGUAUAAAGGGUUAUUGGUCCUGAUUUAAUUUCCCUUUGUCUAGUGUGAGCUGCUGGGUUCCCUGAGUAUUCUACAGUCAGCAGUCUGUCAGUCUAACUGCUUGAAUCACUGGCAAUAGUCUGAUAUACCUGCCUAGAUUAAGACACUGACCUGUGCUCACGGAUUAUAGGCUGAGGUUAAAGGAGGAAUAAAACCCUAACAUUGUUUAACUUAAAGGAUACGACCAUUACAACUUCACAAAGUAGCCCAUAGUAAUAAGUGCUACAGCAUAUAAAAUCUAUUUUUAUAAUGGUUUCUUUUUAAGCCUAAUUCUUUAACUGUUGCCAGAGGGUUCAGCUCGCUCCUCUGUGUUGCUCUCACACGUGAAAUUAUGCUGGAGGAGAUAUUGGGAUAUUUUACUGGUUCAAGCAAUGCAGUAAAGGAAAGAUAAUAUUCUGAACUGGGCGCGCUGGUUAUAAAACGUCUUUCACUCUUGGUGUCCAGAGGCGCAGUGCAUGUUUCACUGAUGCUGCUUAGAAUUAUUACUCAUCCUUUAUUCCCCACCUUGUUUUGUCCUGUCUCUUCUCUGGGAACUUGUGCCUUGUUUUUUCCCAUUGACCUGCAUACUCGAAAGUCGAUGAUGCUUCUGCGAUAUGUUACAACUUUGUUACAAGCUUACAGUCACUGUAGUAUCUCAGGCAUUUUAUUAGUACUUUUAGUUUUUGUUGGUGCCAAAACUUCUGAUUGGAGACUCUGAAACUAAGUGACGCUGCAAGCAUGAACAAAAAUCACAAAUAAUUUUCUUUUAAUCUAGGCUGAGAUGUCUUAUUCCUUCAGACUCUGGACCAUGAGCCAAAAGUGUCCACUCAGUGUGCACACUCAGCCAGCUGCUAAUACCAUACUUGCUUCUUAAAUAUCACAACAUUUUGGGGUUGUGGGGGAGGUUUAAAAUCUUAAUAAGCAGAAUUUUUUUUUUGGUUUGAUAGUUUUUAUUUUUCAUCCAAAGUUUGAUAACUAGAGGUCUUAACCACCAAUAUAAUCGGAUAUAUGCAUUAUAUGUAUAUAAACUACUAUUAUGCUCUUAUGUAUUCUGAUUUAUAAGUAUGUGUACCUUGUUUUAUAUGGCGCAUAUCCGACCGCUUAAUUUAUAACCUUCAUGUUGGUCAUUGUAAAAAAUUUUGUCGCAUGUGUAUCCAAAAGGUAGAUCUGAAUUUGAGGUUUUACAAUCACUGAACAUCUAGCAUUUGAAAACCCCAGUUUUACACAAUCCACCACCCAAUUUUGGUUUAAUAACACAAAAAAAAAUCUUCCACUCUCUUUGUUCAGAAAAUCUCAAGAUCAUUCUUUUUACCAAAUCAAAUAGGUAGGUGUCAUACAGUAGAAGCCAAGCCAGAUGUGAAAACUCAACAUAUGAAUGUCUUUGCAUCUGGCUACUGAAUCUUGUGACUCUAAUUGGGGAAGCCAAUCAAAGCACAGCACAAUUCAUACAAUUAAAUAUUUGUGUAACAGCAUUACUGUCCUCAAUAAGUUGAAUCAACAUGGACUUAUAGUGGAAUUCUGGAACCAAUGUCGUUGCUGUUAAUUAGUACUAUGUUAGUUUGAUUCAUGCUGCCUACCAGAAAAGUUUAAUGGAACUCAACAGGCUCAGAGCUAUAAAUGGAUUCAGCUUAGUUUAAUUCCAGAUACCAGGCAAUUCCCAUUUUUGAUUAGUAGAAGAUUGUUUUAAUCCCUUAAGGACACCUGUCAUGAUUCCCUUUUAUUCCAGAAGUUGUGUCAUUAAGGGGUUAAAAAGGGUCCGUCCCUGGCAUUAUUAUUUCAGAAAUUAACUCCUUGUGGAGAAAUGAGCAAUUAUGACUGUCAUUGGCCUCCUCUUGUAUAACCUGUUAAACCAAUCUGGUCAAAAUUCUAAAAGUGGAAAAAACAACUAGCACACUCCAUUGUUUCCCUUUGUCAUUGCUCUACUUUUAGACAUUUUCACCGCAUUCACUCAUUUGUUUUUUUACUUUUAGGUCUUUGCAUUUAACCAAAUACUAGUGUUCAUUAAUUAUAAUGGACACCUGGUUUAUUAGGAAUUAACUUGUCUUAAAGGUAUCCUAAUUGUGACAUUUGUGUUAAUCCUUACAUAAGGGGAAACACUGACGUUGUUUUGUCAUGGGAUUAUGGCAGAAGUGAAUGGAUCCGAGGCUGUUUGACAGUGAUUGCUAACAUUUCACUUGUUGUAGUCUAGAUUUUCCAUAAUGGCUGGCCGAUGACUUUACUGCAGAAGGGUUUUCGUAACUGGACUAUUAACAUAAUAUUGUUAAACAAGGUAGCCUCACACCGAAAAAACUGCAGAUAAAGGUGUUUUUCAAUCUUCUUUGUUUUAACUUAAGCUUUUUGGAAGAAUGGGGUUAACUUAUUAGACAUACUUUAGAUUGCAACUUUUUAACUUCCUUGCUUUCGGGAAGUUCCUCUGACUGUAGCUGUCUAUUCUACAGCAUUACUGUGACGUGUGAAUAAUAAUCCUGAAGCACCACUUGCUGUGCACAUUAAAACAGCACCACUACAUUUUUCUCAGACGACAUUAUGACAUUUGAAACCUCUGUAGCAUUUGGAGCCCAUUGCAGAGCCACUCUUUUCAAACUCUCAUAUUGAAAUUGCACAUUACCCUGAAGCAGGGAGAUCUCCUACAUUGAAAGCCUUGGGGGCAAUUUGGUGACCCUUCUGUCAGUUAUGACAAUUACCAACUUAAUCCUUCAGAAUAGUAAGUAAGGAACCACCACUAUUGCGAUAAAUUGUGGUUUUACACGUCAUGAAGUGAAGAAGCUUUUACGAUAGUGACUUGUGUUCUACAUCUACAGUCCAGACCCCUUUAUCGAUACAAUCAAGUCAUUAACUUAAGCCACUGUCAUUUUAUUUUGGUGAUUUUCUUUUUUUCUGUAAUAAAUUGUUAUUUAAUCUGUUUGGAGUAUUUUGAGUAGAACAUUGUAUACAUAGAAUAUGUACAUAUAUCAGUAUUCAGUCAGGCUGAGCAAAAUGUAUUUUGAGUCUAAAUGACAAUGCAUUAUGAACCUGUGUAUGCUUUCUCAUUAACAUUUUACCCAAUAUGUGUUCCCUGAAUUGUUUUGUGUUUGUAAAUACGGAACAAUUGUUUGAGUGUAAAGUUCUGGGGUCGUAGGUUUUUUUUCAUGUUACAGAAUAUUUUUCUCUUUUUUUUUUUUUUUUUUUUGAUACUCUGUACCCAUAUAUGGAUGAGUGUGAUUUGUAUUUUUAUCCCGCUCACCCCCAAUCCCAACAAUAAAUGCUAUUUAAAUGUAUACUAAUAUUUUGCCAGAUAUAGAUUUUUUUUCUUCAUUAUUAUAAAUAAUCUGUGGACCAAUAUUAUUAAAUAUGUAUAAAUAUAUAUAUAUAUAUCCCUAUACAGGAAUUUAAUGGCCUUUUAUCAUAUGUUCUACUGACGUACAGCGAUUGUGUGCUGACAUUUUACCCAUAACCACUAAAACAGACACUUUGUUUUGUUUUUUUCCCUCGGUCCUGUUUAUUGCAGUAAUCACACGCCCCUGGUUGUGUGGUGCCAAAUUCAAUAGAACUGUGAGGUUUAGUGUAGGUUUUAUUUAACGUUGCCUUAUUUCGGUUUUGUUUUUUAAUGUUUCUUUGCAUUUAGACAUUGUAAUUAUUAAAAUAAAAUGUAAGUACAUAAUAAAAUAUAAAUUGAUUGCGAUUGUUUGGUUUAUGAUUACAUCAUGAUCGAAUGUGUAUAAUUACAAUUUUCAUGACCCAUUUCUUGAUCCGAAUUCUAGGAGUAAGCAUUUUUCACGAUCCAUACUUGACGGUUUAUAACUUUCAGUGCUUUACGUACAGAGCUGCUGUAGGUCAGUUGCAAGUAAUAGCUACUCAAACAUGCGGUUACACAUUGUAUGCAAUCAUAGGUGUAAAUAUGAAAAAUAUUUAGAUUUUUAGAAUUCUAUGUGCUCGUAUACAACAGACAUGCAAUAAAGCAGUGCUUAUGUGAUAUCUAUACCAAACAUGUGAUUUAUUGUCAAUAUGUCAUAACCACGGUUUUAUUUUAACUUUUAUGUAUAGACUGAGGUAGUGACAAGUUUUACCAGUUAGCGCCAUUUUUUUUUCUGGCAUGAAUUAUGCAUUUCAACAGUUUAGUUUUUUAUGACUUAUUACUUUUGCUACUUUUCUGUUUAUUUUUUUUUCCCCCCUCCUUUGUGCUGCUUUUUG
Molecule: long non-coding RNA, 4948 nt
Filed under: Pelobates cultripes (western spadefoot toad)
Lineage: Eukaryota; Metazoa; Chordata; Amphibia; Anura; Pelobatidae
Source: RNAcentral